GUGCCAGCCGCCGCGGUAAUACGGGGGGUGCGAGCGUUGUCCGGAAUCACUGGGCGUAAAGGGCGCGUAGGUGGUCUGAUAAGGGUGUGGUGAAAGCCCGGGGCUCAACCCCGGGUCGGCCGUGCCGACUGUUGGACUAGAGUGCUGUAGGGGCAGGCGGAAUUCCGGGUGUAGCGGUGGAAUGCGUAGAGAUCCGGAGGAAGACCGGUGGCGAAGGCGGCCUGCUGGGCAGUUACUGACACUGAGGCGCGACAGCGUGGGGAGCAAACAGGAUUAGAUACCCCUGUAGUCC
This 292-nucleotide ribosomal RNA is filed under the name uncultured bacterium. RNAcentral describes it as "partial 16S ribosomal RNA". It matches the Rfam family "Bacterial small subunit ribosomal RNA", at positions 505 to 796 of the family's 1533-position model. The record is from RNAcentral.